ACUUAUAUAGCUAUUUUCUGGACACUCCACUCAAAGCGCUUUACAGGUAAUGGGGAUCCCCUCCACCACCACCAAAUGUGCAGCAUCCACCAAUGUAAAAUAUACAUUGCCGUAUAGAACAGGCUGCGCUGGAAGUCGCGAGUUUUAAAGUUGAAGAUCUUAAUGUCUGAUUACGGUCACGUAUAUAGAGGCAGGUUAUCAAUAUAGGCCAGAUUCACAUACGUCAUAUAACUUUUUAAGUACUGAAGCUCCACAAUAUUUGUUUUUCUCCCCUUUUGACGGGUUUGCCGUGCGGCGCCGGCUCUGCGCGGUCGCCACUGUCCGCCAGAGGGCGCAGCGGCCAGCUGUGCGGAAGAGGGGGGCCCGGAUGGGAGCUGUCUGUUGCCAUGGCGCCGAGCUCCGCACCAAGGCCUGUUCCAGCGGGAUCGCUCCGUCUAAAUGACAUACAGUUUGAUCAUCUUCUGGCUGGAUCAUCACGGAUAGGAAUGUGUUAUCUGCUAACUUCUGGUGUUAUAUACAACUCCCCUGCUUUUCGCCGAAUGAAGAACAUAUUUUUUUUUAACUUCCCAGCGGAUGUGCUGGGAACAACAGCUGUGCUUAAACCCUACUGUUGCAACUCCUAGCUUUCUCUUGUCGUCCAGGUAUGCGAGAGGUUUCGGGUGCUAAUUAUUCAAAUCCAUAUAUGACCGCCUACAAUGUGAUGCGUAUGAAACGGCUGAUAGCAGGGGCAAUUUUUUUUAUUAACCGUUUCAUGUUCAGGCUUCGACGGAAACAUGACACGUUUACAACAGCAACAAAGACUGCAGAUACGAAAUAUAAACGUGAAACAAGAGUUCAUGGUUUGUAAAAAAAGAAAAUAACGAGUGACUAGUGAAAACGAGAGGGAUCUGGUCAAAAUAAAGAGUCUCCCUUUCAGCGGCUGGGCUUCACGUUGUCUUCAGCUUCAGAAAGCCCGGACGGGUCGCGAUGUUCCGCAUACACCGAGCACACGGUCUGUCCAGCGAGGUGAAGGCCAGCGCCGGAUGUUUGCCGGUCGGGCUGGUCUCGGAGACGGAAGAUCAAAGGACCGGGAACCACCGGGCCGGACCGGGCCGGACCGGGCGUCUCUCGACCUGCCAGCGCCGCAGACCCGGCUCUCAGCGGGCUGAGCUCCCGCUCCACGCGAGUCCGUGACAGGGGCCGCGGGUGGGCAUUCGUGUUUUCUUAACAGCCCCCGAAUCCCUGCCCAAGCCUCGCAUGCGAUCUUCACUUUGGCAGAACCGCUGGGCGAUACUGGGUCUAGUUCCCCCAGCCGGACUCUGUUCGCGCUUGCCAGUAACUGCUGGACCCACCCAGUUAGUCUUUCCGAGUGUCUUAUUGAUUCAUUUAUUGAAUGUAUCAAUUCUUUGUCUUUUUGUUUUUCGCAUGCGUUCAAAAAUAUUAAGAAGUCG
This 1430-nucleotide long non-coding RNA is filed under the name Lepisosteus oculatus (spotted gar). Its description in RNAcentral is "lncRNA (ENSLOCG00000022195.1)". Lineage: Eukaryota; Metazoa; Chordata; Actinopteri; Semionotiformes; Lepisosteidae. The record is from RNAcentral.